CCUGGUUAUUCAUAACCUUUUGUUGUCCGACUCUGUUGCCUCCGGGGCGACCCUGCCUUCGGGCGGGGGCUCCGGGUGGACACUUCAAACUCUUGCGUAACUUUGCAGUCUGAGUAAACUUAAUUAAUAAAUUAAAACUUUUAACAACGGAUCUCUUGGUUCUGGCAUCGAUAAGAACGCAGCAAAAAAAAAAAAAGCCGGGGAAUGGAAGGAA
This 214-nucleotide unclassified non-coding RNA is filed under the name Cladosporium herbarum. Its description in RNAcentral is "sequence contains ITS1". Lineage: Eukaryota; Fungi; Ascomycota; Dothideomycetes; Cladosporiales; Cladosporiaceae. The record is from RNAcentral.